GGAAUCUUGCACAAUGGGGGAAACCCUGAUGCAGCGACGCCGCGUGAGCGAUGAAGCCCUUCGGGGUGUAAAGCUCUUUCGGCAGGGAAGAUAAUGACGGUACCUGCAGAAGCAGCUGCGGCUAACUACGUGCCAGCAGCCGCGGUAAUACGUAGGCAGCAAGCGUUGUUCGGAGUUACUGGGCGUAAAGGGUGCGUAGGCGGCCCUUCAAGUUUGUCGUGAAAUCUCCCGGCUUAACCGGGAGGGUGCGGCGAAGACUGAGGGGCUGGAGUGCGGGAGAGGAGAGUGGAAUUCCUGGUGUAGCGGUGAAAUGCGUAGAUAUCAGGAGGAACACCGGCGGUGUAGACGGCUCUCUGGACCGUAACUGACGCUGAGGCACGAAAGCGUGGGUAGCAAAC
RNAcentral lists this ribosomal RNA (398 nucleotides) under uncultured bacterium. RNAcentral's name for it is "bacterial SSU rRNA". It matches the Rfam family "Bacterial small subunit ribosomal RNA", at positions 358 to 773 of the family's 1533-position model. The record is from RNAcentral.